RNAcentral lists this unclassified non-coding RNA (601 nucleotides) under Yarrowia lipolytica. The record is from RNAcentral. Lineage: Eukaryota; Fungi; Ascomycota; Dipodascomycetes; Dipodascales.
CCCCCAGUCGUCCUUCACCGACCCGAACAUUCAAAGUGCUACACUCUCAAAAACCCACAUUCACUCACCAUGUGCCGGUCGCGUACACGGCCAUGGACGAUGAGACGACCUAUGACGACCUGAUCAACCAAUACAUUAAAAAGUACCGCUUCACGACAUAUAUUCCCGACAUUGUGACCAUGUUGGAGCCACUCAUUCCGUGGGAUCGUCUCGCCAUCCACGCACGAACAGUCAACCUCAUGAGAGUGGAGAUGGCCACAAACCCCAAGAAGGGCUGGUAGACGGCAGGCCGUCUACAAGGACCUCACUACGAACAAACAUAACACCUUGUGUUAUCUUACCUUUAGCACUGGAUGGCUAUCCCACACCCUUUCGGGAACAAUCUAAAAGGUCGCUCUGAACGAAACCAAACGGGAGUUUGUGGGAGAUAUUUUGAGGUUUUAAUUUAACGGCGAUCAUGGCGCCACCUCAAAACAAGUGUUAAUCCCGAAGAUAUACCGGAGCAGCCCAGCUGUAUACAUCUUCAUUUGACUCCAACUGGCCAGGGGUCUUUAUUUAUUAAUUAUAUCAGAUUAUAGUUAUUGAGUGUUGUGUGUAUUUU